UUAUCCGGAUUUAUUGGGUUUAAAGGGUGCGUAGGUGGUAAUUUAAGUCAGCGGUGAAAGUUUGUGGCUCAACCAUAAAAUUGCCGUUGAAACUGGGUUACUUGAGUGUUGUUGAGGUAGGCGGAAUGCGUGGUGUAGCGGUGAAAUGCAUAGAUAUCACGCAGAACUCCAAUUGCGAAGGCAGCUUACUAAACCAUAACUGACACUGAAGCACGAAAGCGUGGGUAUCAAACAGGAUUAGAUACCCUGGUAGUCCACGCAGUAAACGAUGAUUACUAGGAGUUUGCGAUACACAGUAAGCUCUACAGCGAAAGCGUUAAGUAAUCCACCUGGGGAGUACGCCGGCAACGGUGAAACUCAAAGGAAUUGACGGGGGCCCGCACAAGCGGAGGAACACGUGGUUUAAUUCGAUGAUACGCGAGGAA
RNAcentral lists this ribosomal RNA (425 nucleotides) under uncultured bacterium. RNAcentral describes it as "bacterial SSU rRNA". It matches the Rfam family "Bacterial small subunit ribosomal RNA", at positions 541 to 968 of the family's 1533-position model. The record is from RNAcentral.